This 586-nucleotide ribosomal RNA is filed under the name Acidimicrobiia bacterium. Its description in RNAcentral is "bacterial SSU rRNA". It matches the Rfam family "Bacterial small subunit ribosomal RNA", at positions 1 to 597 of the family's 1533-position model. Lineage: Bacteria; Bacillati; Actinomycetota; Acidimicrobiia. The record is from RNAcentral.
UCGAUGGAGAGUUUGAUCCUGGCUCAGGACGAACGCUGGCGGCGUGCUUAAUACAUGCAAGUCGAACGGGGUCCAACCGGUGGCAACACCGGGGAAGACCUAGUGGCGAACGGGUGAGUAACACGUGAGCAACCUGCCCCGAAGACCGGGAUAACACCGGGAAACUGGUGCUAAUACUGGAUACCCCCACCGGGCCGCAUGACCUGGUGAGGAAACGUUUUUCGCUUCGGGAGGGGCUCGCGGGCUAUCAGCUUGUUGGUGGGGUAACGGCCUACCAAGGCAGCGACGGCUAGCUGGUCUGAGAGGACGACCAGCCACACUGGGACUGAGACACGGCCCAGACUCCUACGGGAGGCAGCAGUAGGGAAUCUUGCGCAAUGGGCGAAAGCCUGACGCAGCAACGCCGCGUGGGGGAUGAAGGCUCUCGGGUUGUAAACCCCUUUCAGCAGGGACGAAAUUGACGGUACCUGCAGAAGAAGCCCCGGCCAACUACGUGCCAGCAGCCGCGGUAAUACGUAGGGGGCGAGCGUUGUCCGGAUUCAUUGGGCGUAAAGAGCUCGUAGGCGGCUUGGCAAGUCGGAUGUGA